Molecule: ribosomal RNA, 446 nt
Filed under: uncultured bacterium
Lineage: Bacteria
Description: bacterial SSU rRNA
Rfam family: Bacterial small subunit ribosomal RNA
Source: RNAcentral
GUGAGGAAUAUUGGUCAAUGGGCGGAAGCCUGAACCAGCCAUUCCGCGUGAAGGAAGAAGGCCUUACGGGUUGUAAACUUCUUUUCUGUAAGAAGAAUAACCGGGACGAGUUUCCGGGAUGACGGUAUUAUAGGAAUAAGCAUCGGCUAACUCCGUGCCAGCAGCCGCGGUAAUACGGAGGAUGCAAGCGUUAUCCGGAUUUAUUGGGUUUAAAGGGUGCGCAGGUUGUUUGACAAGUCAGUGGUGAAAGUCUGCCGCUUAACGGAAGGAUUGCCAUUGAUACUGUUGGACUUGAGUAUGGAUAAGGUAUGCGGAAUGUGUAGUGUAGCGGUGAAAUGCAUAGAUAUUACACAGAACACCGAUUGCGAAGGCAGCAUACUGGGCCAUUACUGACGCUGAGGCACGAAAGCGUGGGGAUCAAACAGGAUUAGAAACCCCAGUAGUCC